UACGUAGGGUGCAAGCGUUGUCCGGAAUUAUUGGGCGUAAAGAGCUCGUAGGCGGUCUGUCGCGUCGAAUGUGAAAACCCGGGGCUCAACCCCGGGCCUGCAUUCGAUACGGGCAGACUAGAGUUCGGUAGGGGAGUCUGGAAUUCCUGGUGUAGCGGUGAAAUGCGCAGAUAUCAGGAGGAACACCUAUGGCGAAGGCAGCUCGCUGGGACGGUACUGACGCUGAGGCGCGAAAGCGUGGGGAGCAAACAGG
Molecule: ribosomal RNA, 253 nt
Filed under: uncultured bacterium
Lineage: Bacteria
Description: partial 16S ribosomal RNA
Rfam family: Bacterial small subunit ribosomal RNA
Source: RNAcentral